CGUGUAGGCGGCUCAUCGAGUCUGGUGUGAAAAUGCAGGGCUUAACCCUGCAGAUGCGCUGGAAACUGGUGGGCUUGAGUUCUUGAGGGGAAGCUGGAAUUCCAGGUGUAGGGGUGAAAUCUGUAGAUAUCUGGAAGAACACCGGUGGCGAAGGCGAGCUUCUAUCAGAGGACUGACGCUGAGACGCGAAAGCGUGGGGAGCGAACA
RNAcentral lists this ribosomal RNA (207 nucleotides) under uncultured bacterium. RNAcentral describes it as "partial 16S ribosomal RNA". It matches the Rfam family "Bacterial small subunit ribosomal RNA", at positions 568 to 774 of the family's 1533-position model. The record is from RNAcentral.